AGCUCCAAUAGCGUAUAUUAAAGUUGUUGCGGUUAAAAGCUCGUAGUUGGAUUUCUGUUGAGGGUGGCCAGUCCGCACUUCGUGCGAGUAUUUGGUUCAGCCUCGGCAUCCUCCUAGGAAGCGUAAUUGUACUUGAUUGUAUGAUACGUAACUUAGGACUUUUACUUUGAGGAAAUUAGAGUGUUCACGGCAGGCGAUCGCCUUGAAUAUGUUAGCAUGGAAUAAUAAUAUAAGACCUCGGUUUUAUUUUGUUGGUUUCUAGAAGCGAGGUAAUGAUUAAUAGGGACAAUUGGGGGUAUUCGAAUUAACACGUCAGAGGUGGAAUUCUUGGAUUGUGUUACGACGAACUACUGCGAAAGCAUUUACCAAGGAUGUUUUCA
This 380-nucleotide ribosomal RNA is filed under the name uncultured eukaryote. Its description in RNAcentral is "SSU rRNA". It matches the Rfam family "Eukaryotic small subunit ribosomal RNA", at positions 587 to 972 of the family's 1831-position model. The record is from RNAcentral.